UGCAAUUGAGAUUUGAUCAUGGCUCAGAUUGAACGCUGGCGGCAGGCCUAACACAUGCAAGUCGAGCGGCAGCGGGAAAGUAGCUUGCUACUUUUGCCGGCGAGCGGCGGACGGGUGAGUAAUGCCUGGGAAAUUGCCCAGUCGAGGGGGAUAACAGUUGGAAACGACUGCUAAUACCGCAUACGCCCUACGGGGGAAAGCAGGGGACCUUCGGGCCUUGCGCGAUUGGAUAUGCCCAGGUGGGAUUAGCCAGUUGGUGAGGUAAUGGCUCGCCAAGGCGACGAUCCCUAGCUGGUCUGAGAGGAUGAUCAACCACACUGGAACUGAGACACGGUCCAGACUCCUGCGGGAGGCAGCAGUGGGGAAUAUUGCACAAUGGGGGAAACCCUGAAGCAGCCAUGCCGCGUGUGUGAAGAAGGCCUUCGGAUUGUAAAGCACUUUCAGCGAGGAGGAAAGGUUGAUGCCCAAUACGUAUCAACUGUGACGUUACUCGCAGAAGAAGCACCGGCUAACUCCGUGCCAGCAGCCGCGGUAAUACGAGGGUGCAAGCGUUAAUCGGAAUUACUGGGCGUAAAGCGCACGCAGGCGGUUGGAUAAGUUAGAUGUGAAAGCCCCGGGCUCAACCUGGGAAUUGCAUUUAAAACUGUCCAGCUAGAGUCUUGUAGAGGGGGGUAGAAUUCCAGGUGUAGCGGUGAAAUGCGUAGAGAUCUGGAGGAAUACCGGUGGCGAAGGCGGCCCCCUGGACAAAGACUGACGCUCAGGUGCGAAAGCGUGGGGAGCAAACAGGAUUAGAUACCCUGGUAGUCCACGCCGUAAACGAUGUCGAUUUGGAGGCUGUGUCCUUGAGACGUGGCUUCCGGAGCUAACGCGUUAAAUCGACCGCCUGGGGAGUACGGCCGCAAGGUUAAAACUCAAAUGAAUUGACGGGGGCCCGCACAAGCGGUGGAGCAUGUGGUUUAAUUCGAUGCAACGCGAAGAACCUUACCUGGCCUUG
Molecule: ribosomal RNA, 994 nt
Filed under: Aeromonas sp.
Lineage: Bacteria; Pseudomonadati; Pseudomonadota; Gammaproteobacteria; Aeromonadales; Aeromonadaceae
Description: bacterial SSU rRNA
Rfam family: Bacterial small subunit ribosomal RNA
Source: RNAcentral